Molecule: ribosomal RNA, 305 nt
Filed under: uncultured bacterium
Lineage: Bacteria
Description: bacterial SSU rRNA
Rfam family: Bacterial small subunit ribosomal RNA
Source: RNAcentral
GUUCCCUACGGGGCGCAGCAGUGAGGAAUAUUGGUCAAUGGCCGAGAGGCUGAACCAGCCAAGUCGCGUGAGGGAUGACGGCCCUACGGGUUGUAAACCUCUUUUGUCGGGGAGCAAGACCCGCCUCGUGCAGGCGGAGCGAGAGUACCCGAAGAAAAAGCAUCGGCUAACUCCGUGCCAGCAGCCGCGGUAAUACGGAGGAUGCGAGCGUUCUCCGGAUUUAUUGGGUUUAAAGGGUGCGCAGGCGGCGAGUUAAGUCAGCGGUAAACUUUCGGGUCUCAACCCCGACGACCCGUUGAACCUGG